This 125-nucleotide non-coding RNA is filed under the name Acinetobacter sp. RNAcentral describes it as "TPP sequence". It matches the Rfam family "TPP riboswitch aptamer (THI element)". Rfam says of the family: Vitamin B(1) in its active form thiamin pyrophosphate (TPP) is an essential coenzyme that is synthesised by coupling of pyrimidine and thiazole moieties in bacteria. The previously detected thiamin-regulatory element, thi box was extended, resulting in a new, highly conserved RNA secondary structure, the THI element, which is widely distributed in eubacteria and also occurs in some archaea. The record is from RNAcentral. Lineage: Bacteria; Pseudomonadati; Pseudomonadota; Gammaproteobacteria; Moraxellales; Moraxellaceae.
CAUCGCUUGACGGAGCGCGGGUAAGAACCCGCUGAGAUCACUAAAAAGCAUUCGUGUUUUUGAUGGUGAGUACCGUUGAACCUGAUCAGGUUAAAACCUGCGUAGGAAUCAAGCCAUCUAAAAAC